Molecule: long non-coding RNA, 1610 nt
Filed under: Haliotis rubra (blacklip abalone)
Lineage: Eukaryota; Metazoa; Mollusca; Gastropoda; Lepetellida; Haliotidae
Description: uncharacterized LOC124256321
Source: RNAcentral
AUGCUAUUCACAGUGUCCCAUAUGGAUAUUCACCGAACUAAAACUUUGUAUAUACUCCCUAUGUAUGUGAAGACAUCUUCACAGGAAAACAGUAGUCAGCAGCAUCAAAAUGGAUAUGAAGAGAUAUGUAUACAGGUUGAUCGAUGUCAAUGGUGAAACGCUGCGUGAAGGUCAAACCUUAAGAAGAACACGUAUGGCAGCUUAUCAAGCAGCACAGAGGGUUCUACAACGAUUAAUGGAGCGAGGUGUUAUCACUGCAAACACUGUAUAUCCUGUGGAAGUGCAUGAAAUUUCCACCACAAGACAGUCUCUUGAGCGUGCACGUGACUUGAGACAAAAUCGUCGGAAGUUUGAGACUAUUCUGGAAACUCUCUACCUGAAUGAACUCCAGAGAAGUGUCACAAAACUGUGUCAAGACAAUUGUUAUGGAUGUGAAAUUGAUCAUCCCUCACAAAUUCACCACCAGUGUGUGAUGAUGGAUAGUGCUGAAAAGGUGGACCUCUAUUUUGAGGAUGCUCUGAGUGGAAUACCUCAUCAGAACAUUUUAGAAAGAGCACGACAACAACGUACACAACUCAGACUAGACUUCCAUGACAGACAUACCGUCUGUUAUGAAAACAUUGAUUAUUUGAAUUCUGGUUUGCUUUCCAACAUAGGAAAAGAGAGACUGGAGAUGCUAACCAAACUCAACAUGAGUUUACCAUAAACAAGACAAACUAGUCAUUCAGUAAUCCAUUUUUAUUUCCUUGUACAUAAUAUGUAUAGAAUGAUGGAUGUACAUUAAAAAGGCUCGAUUGCCCUUACUUUUGCUGUACCUGGCACACCGUCAGAUGCUUUGCGUUUUAAAUAUAAAGUAUUUACAGUUUUCUUCUUUUUGUCUUUCUUUUGUCUGCUUUUCAUGAGAUGUUUAGGAACAUGCGAAUGUCUUAAAAGUUUAUAAAAGUCUCUAUAUCCUACUGGACGGCGACUUUUAACACCUGCUUUCAUGAUAACAAAACGGAUCAAGUCUACUAUGUUCGAACCAUGCAACACCUCACCAUUAGGUAACACAAGUUGUAAAUCUUCUGUCAGUCCUAUUUGUCUGUUUAGAAUGUUUUCUUUCACAAAUAUCCACAAAGUCAUUAACUUGCCGAUGGUUUUUGUAGACGAAAUACCUCUAAUGAUCUGUUCAGGUACACGAAGCAUGAUGUCUAUGUUAUCCUUCACAACAGAUGCAUGUGCUUCUUCAUCACCGCUGUUACUAGAUCCAUUAUUAUGAUUCAUAAUCUUCAGAUCUUGUUUCGUUGUCAGAUGAUCCUGAAUCGGUGUCUGAUUCACUGUCUGAGGAGGAAUCUGUUCUUCUUGAUUGUUCAUCAACCUCUGCUCUCAGUGUGAGUCUCUAUUUCAACACAAUCUGGGAACACAUCAUUAAAGGAUCCACACUCAUCCAUGGUUCUGUUCAGUUCAAGUGAUGAAAGUGAAAUGAUGAAAACACUCAUAGAGAGACGGAUAUAUAUCAUCUUGGGCAUAAUUCUAUGACUGCGGUAAGUAGACUGUACAUGCUUCAUCAGGAAAUAUGUUUGUGCGUAAACGUCCAUAGGGUUCAUCAGCAUAGGGUGAAGCAUCCAAAA